RNAcentral lists this non-coding RNA (84 nucleotides) under [Clostridium] innocuum. Its description in RNAcentral is "yjdF RNA". It matches the Rfam family "azaaromatic riboswitch aptamer (yjdF RNA)", at positions 8 to 89 of the family's 101-position model. Lineage: Bacteria; Bacillati; Bacillota; Clostridia; Eubacteriales; Clostridiaceae. The record is from RNAcentral.
ACGGAAUAAAAACACAGUCUGGUUGGUAGUCCAGACGCAAUGAGAAUUGUCAGUAACCUGCCUCCUUGGUUGUCCGUUUCCUUA